UUCGGAUAGCUCAGGCACCGCUCGGAGAGUUCCGUAGCUCCCGCUCGUGGAGUUUCGUGAUGCUCUCGGGUGUUUCCGUCUCGCUCGUAGAUUUUCGCCUGUAUUUUCGGGCGUUAUUGCCGAGCCCUCUCGGAAGGUUCCGGUAUCGAUCGGCUUCUUUCGCCGCUCUCCUUCGGGAAUCUCCGUAGAGCUUUCGGGCGUUUCCGUCGGGUGCUGAGCUGUUCCCGCCUUUUGGGGGCGCGGGCGAGUCUUCGCUGAGGUUGGAGCUGGGCUCCCCUCGUAGCUGUUGCAAGGCAGAGCCUGGUCACUGGUGCUCCCAGAGCCGUCAGUCCCCACACAGCAUCCAGAGCUUGCCAGAUGUGCUGUGGAACCAAAACUACACAAGAUUAAGAAAUUGACUUUGAGAACAUCCAAUUGUGUAUCAAAAAGGUCCUCUUUAUUUAUAGAGUGAUAAUGAGAGUAUGUUUGCUCUAAAGUGCUCCAUGUGUCCAUUGAACAUCUCAGGGAUGAUGGCAGUGCUGGGACCAGGGUGGUGUAAGUAAAACAAAUCCACUUUGAUACCCAACCUUUAGUAGCCAUAAUGAAUUUUCUAGCCUUAAAUUUCCUUUUGCCAGCCAAAUCAGCCUUGAUUAUUAACAAGGAUGAUAUAGGGAGAGAAAACUGGCUUGUCAGUAGAGAGUUCACAAGACCUCAGAGGGGUUCCCUGGGCAGGGCCAGGGACCUGGAACCACUCAGGAAGUUAAGGGCAUACAGGGCCACAAACAAGGC
Molecule: long non-coding RNA, 768 nt
Organism: Agelaius phoeniceus (red-winged blackbird)
Lineage: Eukaryota; Metazoa; Chordata; Aves; Passeriformes; Icteridae
Source: RefSeq, a predicted model, not a curated record